GACAGAGGUGCCGAGCGUUAGGCGGAAUCACUGGGCUUAAAGCGUGUGUAGGCGGAUUCCUAAGUACCUUGUGAAAUCCCACGGCUUAACCGUGGAACUGCUUGGUAUACUGGGUGUCUUGAGCCAACUAGAGGCAGUCGGAACAAACGGUGGAGCGGUGAAAUGCGUAGAUAUCGUUUGGAACGCCAAUGGUGAAAACAGACUGCUGGGGUUGUGCUGACGCUGAGGCUCGAAGGCUAGGGGAGCAAAAGGG
This 253-nucleotide ribosomal RNA is filed under the name uncultured bacterium. Its description in RNAcentral is "partial 16S ribosomal RNA". It matches the Rfam family "Bacterial small subunit ribosomal RNA", at positions 524 to 776 of the family's 1533-position model. The record is from RNAcentral.